This 650-nucleotide ribosomal RNA is filed under the name uncultured bacterium. RNAcentral describes it as "bacterial SSU rRNA". It matches the Rfam family "Bacterial small subunit ribosomal RNA", at positions 8 to 655 of the family's 1533-position model. The record is from RNAcentral.
AGAGUUUGAUCAUGGCUCAGAUUGAACGCUGGCGGCAGGCCUAACACAUGCAAGUCGAGCGGUAACAUUUCUAGCUUGCUAGAAGAUGACGAGCGGCGGACGGGUGAGUAAUGCUUGGGAACAUGCCUUGAGGUGGGGGACAACAGUUGGAAACGACUGCUAAUACCGCAUAAUGUCUACGGACCAAAGGGGGCUUCGGCUCUCGCCUUUAGAUUGGCCCAAGUGGGAUUAGCUAGUUGGUGAGGUAAUGGCUCACCAAGGCGACGAUCCCUAGCUGGUUUGAGAGGAUGAUCAGCCACACUGGGACUGAGACACGGCCCAGACUCCUACGGGAGGCAGCAGUGGGGAAUAUUGCACAAUGGGCGCAAGCCUGAUGCAGCCAUGCCGCGUGUGUGAAGAAGGCCUUCGGGUUGUAAAGCACUUUCAGUCAGGAGGAAGGGUUAGUAGUUAAUACCUGCUAGCUGUGACGUUACUGACAGAAGAAGCACCGGCUAACUCCGUGCCAGCAGCCGCGGUAAUACGGAGGGUGCGAGCGUUAAUCGGAAUUACUGGGCGUAAAGCGUACGCAGGCGGUUUGUUAAGCGAGAUGUGAAAGCCCCGGGCUCAACCUGGGAACUGCAUUUCGAACUGGCAAACUAGAGUGUGAUAGA